RNAcentral lists this unclassified non-coding RNA (159 nucleotides) under uncultured Capnodiales. RNAcentral describes it as "sequence contains ITS2". Lineage: Eukaryota; Fungi; Ascomycota; Dothideomycetes; Capnodiales. The record is from RNAcentral.
AAUCCAAUCAAGCCUGGCUUGGUAUUGGGCGUCGGGGUCCCCCGCGCCUCAAUUUCACCGGCUGGCCGUCGCCCGUCUUAGCGUUGUGAUACACUUCUCGCUAGCGAUGGGACCGGACCACGCCGUUAAAACUCACGAAUUUCAAUCGAAAUUCGAUUA